AACGAACGCUGGCGGCAGGCCUAACACAUGCAAGUCGAGCGAGCAUUUCGGUGCUAGCGGCGGACGGGUGAGUAACGCGUGGGAACGUGCCCUUUUCUGCGGAAUAGUCCUGGGAAACGGGGGGUAAUACCGCAUACGCCCUUUUGGGGAAAGAUUUAUCGGAGAAGGAUCGGCCCGCGUUGGAUUAGGUAGUUGGUGGGGUAAUGGCCCACCAAGCCGACGAUCCAUAGCUGGUUUGAGAGGAUGAUCAGCCACACUGGGACUGAGACACGGCCCAGACUCCUACGGGAGGCAGCAGUGGGGAAUCUUAGACAAUGGGGGCAACCCUGAUCUAGCCAUGCCGCGUGAGUGAUGAAGGCCUUAGGGUUGUAAAGCUCUUUCAGCUGGGAAGAUAAUGACGGUACCAGCAGAAGAAGCCCCGGCUAACUCCGUG
This 433-nucleotide ribosomal RNA is filed under the name uncultured bacterium. Its description in RNAcentral is "partial 16S ribosomal RNA". It matches the Rfam family "Bacterial small subunit ribosomal RNA", at positions 29 to 507 of the family's 1533-position model. The record is from RNAcentral.